RNAcentral lists this ribosomal RNA (301 nucleotides) under uncultured bacterium. RNAcentral's name for it is "partial 16S ribosomal RNA". It matches the Rfam family "Bacterial small subunit ribosomal RNA", at positions 509 to 807 of the family's 1533-position model. The record is from RNAcentral.
CAGCCGCCGCGGUAAUACGUAGGUGGCAAGCGUUGUCCGGAAUUAUUGGGCGUAAAGGGCUCGCAGGCGGUUUCUUAAGUCUGAUGUGAAAGCCCCCGGCUCAACCGGGGAGGGCCAUUGGAAACUGGGAAACUUGAGUGCAGAAGAGGAGAGUGGAAUUCCACGUGUAGCGGUGAAAUGCGUAGAGAUGUGGAGGAACACCAGUGGCGAAGGCGACUCUCUGGUCUGUAACUGACGCUGAGGGGCGAAAGCGUGGGGAGCGAACAGGAUUAGAUACCCCUGUAGUCCCUGUCUCUUAUAC